Molecule: long non-coding RNA, 160 nt
Organism: Etheostoma cragini (Arkansas darter)
Lineage: Eukaryota; Metazoa; Chordata; Actinopteri; Perciformes; Percidae
Exons: 3
Source: RefSeq, a predicted model, not a curated record
GACGUGAGGAAAUCGUUCGAGUAGAGAGAAAAUUAAGAACUUUGUUUUAGAGGGAUGCGACGUCCUUUCCUCCGAUGCGUCACGUGAAUUCGUCAGCUGUGUGGACGGAGUUAGUAACGCCUUUCAGCUGCAUGGCUUCCGGGAAGGCUGGUCUCUGCAU